AGUGACAAUUAAAGAGUAUCCAUAGUUUGCAAUAGAAAAUUGAAGUCAUCUUCUUUGACGAAGUAGCUGUGGCGGGUCCACAUCAGAUAGGCUUAUUCCAUCGAAUGAUCGGAAUAUCUCUUCCAUUGAAAAAGAGAACUUCACAUUCUUUACUUAUAUUACUGGCUUACCAUCGACAUAUAGUUGAUAGUUAUGGAGUGAUAUUGACUUUCUUACCAAUCAAACAGCCUAGAGUACACAGUCUUAGCUAAGGCAUCACGACUCAAGACAGCUAAAUCUGGGUCCAGAGGUUUUGUAAUGUUUCCGUCAGGAGUCACUAUGACACGCUUGCAAAUUAGAAGAUGGUAGCGUGCUUUAUCAUCUUUGAGUUUGGAAGAAUCUGUUUCUUUUCCUUUGAUGAAGUCAAUAUUUCCAAGAUGGAGGAUCGCAGCAACUACACGGAAUAUCGCAUCCUACAGAAGAGAAAUGAACUUCAGGUAUCUGCAUUAUGCCUACAGGAAACUUCAAAUCAAUAAUUUGUUCCUCUAGGGUUGUAAAUUAUCAAAACCUGUUCAUCCUGGCUGAUCCCUACAAUAUCCAUUGCAUUUCUGGUCUCCAAAUACUCUCUGGCAUCAUCUACAUUUGCUACUUGAUAACAAUUGGAUUGGUUCAAAUAGUGGAAUUCUCUUGGAUCCCCUAACUUGAAUUUUUUUACAUCCUGAUAGGAAACAUCAGUCAGGUAGCUUUCCCAUGACUUAUUUAACUUGGUUGGAGUAGAAGAAAAAAUAUAUAGAAUCACCUCUGGGGGUGCUGCACAAAGCAUGUAAAAACAAUGGUAAUUUCUCUCAGGGUCAGAAACUUGGCAAACACGUGACCUUUCAAGAAGAUAAGUGCGAACUGCAGCUCCAGAUAUCUUCCCUUGCUUAUCAAACUGUAUCUCAACAAACUUUCCAAAACGACUGGUUGAAUCAUCCAAUUUUUAGUUGUAAGUUCAACUAAUAUAGGAACAGGAAAUUCUAUAUUUUGGGGAAAAAAAGGAGUAUAGAGUUAAAAAGGCCAUCAAAAUUUCACCUGGAAUUGUUAUUUUUCACAGUUUUAGCAUUCCCAAAUGCUUCCAGGACUGGAUUUGACUGGGGAAGUGGAAAUAUAGUUAUGCAUGCCAUUAGUGGAAUCUUCUAAUAGUCAAUAUUGUGUCAUUCUUCUAACUUACCUCCAAAACUUGUUGUUCUACAGUUCUUCCUUCUGUGCCUGAUCUGCCCCCCAUGAAUGCAAGGUAUCUCAUAAGCAUCUUUGUUGUCUCUGUUUUACCAGCUCCACUCUCCCCACUUACCAAAAUGGACUGGCUUUCCUGUUCGUUCAUCAUUGCUCUGAUACAUAAAUUUAUUAUGUUAGAUGUAUAUUAUAACAUGAUUUUGUGUAGUGUGUUUUGUGCUUCUAUAUUAUACCUGUAACAAGUGUCUGCCACAGCAAAAAGGUGUGGACUCAGCUCCCCAAAAGCUGCUCCUUUGUACUGCUCCAUCAUGUGAAUGUCGUACAAAUGCGGCAGUCUUUGGAAAGGAUUAACGGCAAUUAGAAUGUUCCCAGUUGAUGUCAGUUAGGUUAAUUUUGACUCACAUAUAUCUCAUUGAGAGAAAACCGACAAGCAAGGUUAUGUAAGACCCCUGGUUCAUGGAGGUAAGCCAAUUUGGUCAUGUCAUCAACUCCUGCUGGUGGUGCCUCUGUGUCUUUCGGAUAUAUGCUGAAAAUUUCAGCAGCUAUCUGGAGUUGAGGGUGCUCAACAUGGUUGCGAGGGAUCAAUCGCUUGAAGCAUUCCUCAAUUAAGGACACGGCUGCCCCUUGUUUUGAGCAACUUAGAAUUUUGGAGUUUUUCCAGAAACAUUAUUUUGCCUUUGCAACGAGAUGACUGAAUUAUGGAAGAAGAAUAGUGAUAGAAUUAGAGACUACCAGUAAUGCCUGGUUUUUAAAGUAAUAUGAUGUUGUCAGUCAAUAACAUAAUGAAUGACAUUUGGUGAUUUGUGGAGAUUAAAAGAAGGCAGAUGACAACUAGAAUGGAGAUGAUCGAUGUAGACCAUGCAUCUUAUUUUUUAAGCAAGUCUCCUCUCUUUACUCACCUUUAAUAUGAAUACUAAGCAUUGCUUCCACCCUCCACCAAACUUGAGGUGGCCGUGUGGGCCUUUCUGUGGCUUUUUUAUUCGUAUUCUCAAGUCUUCCUUUCUCAAAUGCCGGUGCCAGUAAAAAAAGAGCUUCUUUCUUGUGGGACCCUGAAGACCGGAAAUUAUGCUCUGCAUAGCUUUCCAACCGAUCUUUCCUUGCAUUCCUUUUCCUUUUUCUCUUCUUUAUUGAUCUGUUCUCUCUCAUUACAACUGAUUGAAUCAUUAUUCUUGAUUGCUAAGGCUGUUCUGUAAGAUAGCUCGGAAUAACCUGCUUGUUGCCCUUGUAAAUAACCCACGCUGCUGCGCUUGCUUUGUAUGCUGUGUUAUUCAUGAGGUGCCUUCUGUUGUCAGAGCUUUUUUACAAAUAAAAUUGGGCCAAGUAAUGGAUACAGAAUUGGCCCAAGAAAAUAAAUUCAUGCAAUGUCUCCCCAGUAAGAAUAUAAGCUGGGAUUAGACUUCAAACUCUGGAGAUAAAGCGGGAAUUCAACACCCUUUACCUUUUGUUUGAGAGGAGAUUUUUCAAGGUAAUGAAAAGUUUCUCUAAGAUUUAAAAAUCUUGAAACUGUGUUUAGGAAGAAAUGUAAGUUUUUAAAGUAAGGUCUUUCGAAAACUCUCAAUUUUAACCCACCGGAUUGGUGGAUUGAGAAUGUUUCUUUUUAAAUCCUUCAAAUAUCUUAAAAAACAAUCAUUACUUUUCAAACAUAAGAAAAUUAUCAGAGUUUAAAAAUUAUAAAAAAUCAUGCC
Long non-coding RNA from Manihot esculenta (cassava), 2876 nucleotides. RefSeq lists it as uncharacterized. NCBI's taxonomy places the organism in Eukaryota, Viridiplantae, Streptophyta, Magnoliopsida, Malpighiales, Euphorbiaceae. The record is from RefSeq and is a predicted model, not a curated record. The transcript is spliced from 5 exons.